Long non-coding RNA from Plectropomus leopardus (leopard coralgrouper), 509 nucleotides. RefSeq lists it as uncharacterized. The record is from RefSeq and is a predicted model, not a curated record. NCBI's taxonomy places the organism in Eukaryota, Metazoa, Chordata, Actinopteri, Perciformes, Serranidae.
AAGGCCAAGGACUCUUCCCUGAUUCUGCUCCGGAGAGACGACCAGUCCAAGUCAGCAGGCUCAUCACCAACUGUCUGAGAUGUGUCAUUGGUGGCCAUUAUCGAAGAGUAAAUGUCAAAGCCUGAACCCCAGUCUCCACUUUGACAGAGUGAUGGAGUUGCCAUGGAUACCCAGGCCAAGAUAAAGGGCAUCCAGCAAUGCCACAUGGUAACCUGAGAAGAAGAGGAGGGCCCUGACACACCAGACUGACCUCAAACACCAAGCACCAACAAAGUACAUAAUGAAGUUGCACCCGACCGCACCACAAAGCAGCCGAUGGCCAGCCGACAUACAUGUUCAUUCUGACAUGUCUUGUACACUCAGCACAAGAGGAAAUAUAAUAGAAAUAGGAUGAGAGUGGAAGGGACAUUCCCCUUUAAAUUAACGUAGCGGGAUGUUAAGUGCGGUGGUCUUUUAUAUGUGUACUGUUGCCAUUGCAAUUGUUGUUGUGGGCUAACUUCUGAAUAAAC